CUGCUUCAACAGCAGAUAUAGAGGAACUGGAAUAACAGCGAAGAUUAGCAUGGUCCCUGCCCAAGGAUGACACACAAUUAUGAAUUAUUUUACAGGUUUAA
RNAcentral lists this small nuclear RNA (101 nucleotides) under Sciurus vulgaris (Eurasian red squirrel). Lineage: Eukaryota; Metazoa; Chordata; Mammalia; Rodentia; Sciuridae. The record is from RNAcentral.